CAGAACGAACGCUGGCGGCAUGCCUAACACAUGCAAGUCGAACGAGACCUUCGGGUCUAGUGGCGCACGGGUGCGUAACGCGUGGGAACCUGCCUUAGGUUCGGAAUAACUCAGAGAAAUUUGAGCUAAUACCGGAUAAUGUCUUCGGACCAAAGAUUUAUCGCCUUUAGAUGGGCCCGCGUUGGAUUAGCUAGUUGGUGGGGUAAAGGCCUACCAAGGCGACGAUCCAUAGCUGGUCUGAGAGGAUGAUCAGCCACACUGGGACUGAGACACGGCCCAGACUCCUACGGGAGGCAGCAGUGGGGAAUAUUGGACAAUGGGCGAAAGCCUGAUCCAGCAAUGCCGCGUGAGUGAUGAAGGCCUUAGGGUUGUAAAGCUCUUUUACCCGAGAUGAUGAUGACAGUAUCGGGGGAAUAAGCUCCGGCUAACUCCGUG
RNAcentral lists this ribosomal RNA (435 nucleotides) under uncultured bacterium. RNAcentral describes it as "bacterial SSU rRNA". It matches the Rfam family "Bacterial small subunit ribosomal RNA", at positions 25 to 507 of the family's 1533-position model. The record is from RNAcentral.